AGCCAAUCCGCAGCCGAGGAGCGGUUGAUUGGCAGUCAGCGGGAAAGACCCCGGAUCCCGAUUGGACACGCCCCGUUGUGGGCGGGCCCACAGGGCCGGAAUCCGGAAGCGUGGCCGCGCUGCUCCGGCCCUGGAGCGGGUCCUGCGGGAGAGAGCGGGGCCCCGGGAUGGCCAUGGCGGCGCUGCGGCGGCACGUGUUUGUGGAAAAAGUGCUGAAGAGGCUUUUCCCUAGUCCCUGUGGCCAAGAGAAGAGUGGGCCCGUGACUGCAGCUUCGGAGCAACCAGCUGAGCGAGCGGCCGCUGCGGAGGUCACGGGCAGCAGUGUCCCCACGGUGCCAGGUCUUUCAACUCUUAACCUUCUGCCACCGCUGGGAAACCUCCUGUUGCCUGAGGAAUACAGCACGCGGACCCCAGGGCAUUAUGCUGAGCGAGGUGGGUCAGGCAGAGAAGUCCCCGCACGGCGUGAUCCCACUUCUGGGUGGAUGCUGAAGACACGGCAUUCACAGGGGAUGGACGGAGGGUGCCCCGGGUGAUGUGGGGCACGCCGGUCACAGACACGACCGCCGGUUCUCAGGGAGGCGAGCUGCGGGCUCUACCGUUCAGACCAUUCCUGAGACCAGAUCCAAAACGUCCUCACUGCGGCGGAGUGGUCAUUACCUGCGGGGAGGGAGCCGUCAGGAAGCCCCGUGGCGAUGGUUUGGCGACAUGUGUGUCAGAUCCAUACGCUGUAUACAUUGAAGUUGCACAGUAUUUCUGUUGUAUCUCAGGAGGGAUGGAGGAGCAAGAUGACACCAGUGGAAGCGAAGCCCUCAAACGCCUCCAGGCUGUUUCCCUGCCGCCUCCCUAGAAUUCAGAAACCCCGCUUCCAUUCCCUUCCCACUUGGUUCUGUAGAGUGUAUGCUCUACCCUAUACAGGUGUUGUGCUUGGAGGUUUGUGAGACUGUUACUGAUCUCACUGCUGUCCAUGUUAGCUGCCAUGGUGCACUGUGGGGGGCUGUUUCAGAAUGCACCCCCUGCUGGUGGUCUCCAGCAGUCUGACUUUGCCUGUCAGGGCUUCAGGUUUGUGCAGCUCCCUGGAUCUCUGCAAUUGUGAUUUUCAUCACAUGGAGAAUGUUCAGGAACUACUCCUUGGAGGGCUUCAAGUUCACGUAUGAGACCAUCUGACUUUGUGCCUCAGCCCAGAGGACAUGUUGGUGCCAGGCCGUCUCCUCUCCUGUGGGCUUGUUUGACCUCCAUGGGGCCGCUUGCGUGUUCUUACAUCCCAGCCAGCAGGUACGAGUGGCCAGGAGAAGUCCACCUGGCCCCGGAAGCUGCUGUCCCUCACCCAGCGGUGCUCACGGGAGGGGCCGCCUCCCCCAUGCUCCUGCUCACCCUCCCAGCUCUCUCUGGAUGCAGGGAUGCUGCCCGGAAGUGGCCUGACCCUUCCCUGAGGUCGCUGGCCUCCAGGCACCCUC
RNAcentral lists this long non-coding RNA (1454 nucleotides) under Canis lupus familiaris (dog). Its description in RNAcentral is "lncRNA (ENSCAFG00040012389.1)". Lineage: Eukaryota; Metazoa; Chordata; Mammalia; Carnivora; Canidae. The record is from RNAcentral.